Molecule: ribosomal RNA, 492 nt
Filed under: uncultured bacterium
Lineage: Bacteria
Description: partial 16S ribosomal RNA
Rfam family: Bacterial small subunit ribosomal RNA
Source: RNAcentral
AGUGAACGCUGGCGGUAGGCCUAACACAUGCAAGUCGAACGGCAGCACAGUAAGAGCUUGCUCUUACGGGUGGCGAGUGGCGGACGGGUGAGGAAUACAUCGGAAUCUACUUUUUCGUGGGGGAUAACGUAGGGAAACUUACGCUAAUACCGCAUACGACCUACGGGUGAAAGCAGGGGAUCUUCGGACCUUGCGCGAUUGAAUGAGCCGAUGUCGGAUUAGCUAGUUGGCGGGGUAAAGGCCCACCAAGGCGCCGAUCCGUAGCUGGUCUGAGAGGCUGAUCAGCCACACUGGAACUGAGACACGGUCCAGGCUCCUACGGGAGGCAGCAGUGGGGAAUAUUGGACAAUGGGCGCAAGCCUGAUCCAGCCAUACCGCGUGGGUGAAGAAGGCCUUCGGGUUGUAAAGCCCUUUUGUUGGGAAAGAAAAGCAGCAGGUUAAUACCCCGCUGUUCUGACGGUACCCAAAGAAUAAGCACCGGCUAACUUCGUG